Molecule: ribosomal RNA, 596 nt
Filed under: endosymbiont of Sphenophorus levis
Lineage: Bacteria; Pseudomonadati; Pseudomonadota; Gammaproteobacteria
Description: bacterial SSU rRNA
Rfam family: Bacterial small subunit ribosomal RNA
Source: RNAcentral
CGUCUUAGGAUUGUAAAACACCUUCAGCAAGGGAAAAAAUUAUAUAAAUAAUACUUAUAUUAACUGAUAUUACCUGCAAAAGAAGUACCGGCUAACUCCGUGCCAGCAGCCGCGGUAAUACGGAGGGUACAAGCGUUAAUCGGAAUUAUUGGGCGUAAAGAGUACGUAGGUGGUAUAUUAAGUCAGAUGUGAAAUACUUAAGCUUAACUUAAGAACUGCAUUUGAAACUAAUAAACUAGAGUUUUAUGGAGGGGAGUAGAAUUCCAAGUGUAGCGGUGAAAUGCGUAGAUAUUUGGAGGAAUACCAGAGGCGAAGGCGACUCCCUGGGUAAUAACUGACACUGAGGCACGAAAGCUUGGGGAGCAAACAGGAUUAGAUACCCUGGUAGUCCAUGCUGUAAACGAUGUCAAUUUGAAGAUUGUAAUAUUAUUAUUUUUUAUAAUUUUCGUAGCUAACGCAUUAAAUUGACCGCUGGGGAUUACGACCGCAAGGGUUAAAACUCAAAUGACAUUUGACGGGGGACCCGCACAAAGCGGUGGGAAGCAUGUGGUUUAAAUUCGAUACAACGGCGAAAAAACCUUACCUACUCUUGAACA